RNA transcript from Hypanus sabinus (Atlantic stingray), 9697 nucleotides. RefSeq lists it as uncharacterized. Lineage: Eukaryota; Metazoa; Chordata; Chondrichthyes; Myliobatiformes; Dasyatidae. The transcript is spliced from 14 exons. The record is from RefSeq and is a predicted model, not a curated record.
AGUUCAAAGUAGAUGUAUUAUCAAAGUAUGUAUAUUCCACCAUAUACUACUGAGAUUCAUUUUCUUGCGGGCAUUCACAAUAGAACAAAGAAAUACAACAGAAUCAACGAAAAACUGCACACAGACUAACAUCCAAUCAAUGUGCAAAAUAGGACAAACCGCAAAUACAAUAAAUAAAUGAAUAUCGAGAACGUGAGUUGUAGAAUCCUUGAAAGUGAGUCUGUAGGUUGUGGAUAUAGAUCAGCGUUGAGGUGAGUGAAGUUAUCCACACUGGUUUAGAAGCCUGAAGGGUGCUAUUUAGAGUUUCAAGAUUCCAUGAUACCGUUAUCAAUAUUCUUAAAUUAAGUGACAGGAACAUAAAUGAAAAGCCUGCAUUUUUAUGACGAAGAAAUCUUGCUGCUAAAACAUGCGUUUAGUGAGGGCCAUGAUCUAAUGAGUCCAUGAAAACGCUGAAUAAAAGCAACAGAAUUACGUUGCACCUCCAAAUCCUCCUCUGUGUUUACUUUCAACUCCUGCAAAAUAAGUUUGAAGAAAAACGUGUCACAUUCGGUGCAAGUGAAGGAUUGUGAAGGACCUGGUAAAAUGCGAUUAACAAAUGCACCAAUCAGUGGAGUUGACGCAGAUCCGACCGUCAAAGGAUCAUAUUUCAAAUCCUUCCUCUUAAAUGAGCCCGUUCAUUUUCUUUAAGAAAAACACCCAUCAAGAGUCAGGAUUUCUAUUUGUCUUAGAGACAGAGCUUUGCAGGUUACGAUACACCUGACGCUGCGUCGCUCGGGCACGGUAUGCUGUGCAAAGUGCUGAGUCCGGAUAGCUUGCGCGAUCAGAGCAGCAAUGACAGUGGGAUAGACUGCUGCUUCCCGGGGAACGACCUGUCUCUUCCAGCCGGAGAAGUGCCGACCAUCCCUGGCGUCUGCACACUGCAGAGUCCCCGUUCUCCCUCUGCGACAGUCUCCCAGUUCUGCAAGCAGGAACGAAAGACCAGGCCAGAAGCAGCGAACAAGAACCAAAGUGAAUCCGAGAAGUAUUUGGGAGUAAGAGUUCGUCUGCCUGUCCGAGAUCUCCUCCGUAAUUACCGCAAAGCCAAAGGACAGGAGCCAAAAGACCUCCAGGAAGAUGUGGCCUGGAAAUUAAAUAAUAAAAGAAAACGUGCUGUAAGGGAUACACUAAGAGGUCACCCAUGUUCUGCUAAAGGGAGGAGACAGACAAAAAAGAUGAAUGUUUGUCCUCCAAAAAAUGUUGAAGAUUUGUUGGAAGAUUUGGUGGAAGUUUUGGAGACAGAUCUGAAGCAAGGGGGACUGCAACCCCAUCAGGGAAUUAAUUGCCCUCAGAGGUAUUACAUGGGCUGUCCUGUCAGCCUCAGAGACCUGCACUCCAGAAACCAUCACCCUGUUCUACAAGCUAACAACCCAGCCUUCCACUACAACGUGGGUUAUGAGAACGUGGGUUAUGCAGCCCGCCUAGAUCUGGUCUCUCCAUCGUACAAACCCUAUUCAGUUUCAGAAUGUGAGUCUUGGUACCGUUCACCAGGCUGGUUGGCAGCCUUUGCCAGAGAGUGCUGUGUGGACAAUUCUGAGAAAGGCAAACUUUUCUGUCUGCAUCAGUGCUAUCCUCACAACACCAGACAUCUGUCACAUCCUCAGUCACCACUGCCAAAGUCAAAAGUGUUAGGGCAGGCUGCAUCGAGUAAUACACAGAGCAGCAGAUCCACUCUGGAACUGGAAGCUUCUCAACAGCAAUAUCUUCCAGAAAGCUCUGCAUUGUCUUUCUUCCAGUUUCAACUGCAACAGAUCGAGAGCAGCCUUGUUGCCCUGUCGCCUGAAGACGUCCUGUCGGCAGACAAGUAUGGCAACACAUUGUUACAUUAUGCUGUCAUUCAGGGGAAGAGAGCUCUAGCUUAUGGGUUAGCUUGUCGGAUGUCUGACUUGAUUAGCAUUGAUGCAAAGGAUUCCAGAGGUCAGACUGCACUACACUUAGCUGCGGAACGAAACCAGCACCUAAUGGUUAAUGAUCUUAUUUCACUGGGAGCCCAGAUCAAUGAAAGAGACUUUUUGGGGAAGACUCCUAUCCAUCUGUGUGCAGAGAAUGGCUUCCUACAAGUCUUACAGGUAAUAGAGAAGGCCAUGAAGAAUGGAACAGAUGUUGACAUUGAUGCCAGGGACAAUAAUUAUCUGACCCCAUUACACUAUGUAAUGUUGGCUCACAUUGCAUCAGUAAAGGAGUUUGAGAACUCGGAGAUGGGCAGUGACAUGCAGAGGUUCAUGGCGUUGAGAAAGGAGCAGCUCCUGGAUGGGUUGCGAUGCCUGCUGAGGAUGGGAUCCUCUAUUUCCUUGCAGGAUAUGAAUGGACAAAGUAUCAUCCAUUUGGCAGAGGAAGAAAAUGACACUGAAGUCCUGAAUUUGCUUUAUGAUCAUGUUGGUAAAAUGAGAACCAUUACUCGCAAGGAAUUUGGCUGUAAUGCAGUACUUGAUUCAGUGUAUCAGAAAACUGAGGUCCUAGCGAUAGCCCCUGAACUGCCUCCUUGUAAAAGCUACAAGCAGCCUAGCAACGUGCCACAAGGGACUCUGCCAGAUCAGUGAGAAGGUUAAGGAACUGAGAAGUAAAGUCAAUGUGGAACGGAACGUGAGCUACGGCUGAUGUCAAAGUCACUGCCUUCUUGAGUGAAUGGUGGAUGGUGGCGUAGUUACUGGCAGACCUCUGGGCCGUUUGUCCAGCUGAUGUGAAUCCUACCUUGGCAAAUGUGGAAUUUUAAAUUCAAUAACUGGUUGCAAUGAAGCAGAAUUUCUAGAAGAAAUGAAGAUAAGUGAGAUGGUGCCAGGAGCAGAGCACUCUGAGCUGACGUGGAGGGUUUCUCCCAGCACAAUACUACUUCUGUUUUGUUGGUCGUUGCUUUGCAACACUCAAGGUAUGUGGCAAAAUUUUAAGGAUUGUGGAAUGUUAGUUACAAUCUAUUGCUGUACAUGCACUUUACCAGGUUGAACUGCAUCGCCUGUAUGAAAAAAAACUCUGUAAAUAAGUUAUGAUAAAUGAACAUAAGUUAUGCAUAACUUGCACGAUCAAAAACAUCAGCGCAAGUUGAGGGAGAGGGAAAAGAAAUAUAGUGGAAGAUAGUAUGGGCAUUCCUCAGGUUCAAAAACUAGACAAGAGUGAAGAAGUAGCUGUUGUGGGUCUUCAAGCCCUUGUACCUCCUGCCUGAUAGCAGCAUUGAGAAGAGAGCAUGGGAUACAGCCCAAUCCAUCACAGGCAAAGCCCACCCUACCAUUCUGCACAUCUACUAAGAGCAUUACCACAAGAAAGUAGCAUCCACAAUCAAGGAUCCCCACCAUACAGGCCAUACUUUCUUCUCUCUACUAUCAUUGGGAAAGUGGUACAGAGAGCCGUAGGUCCCAGAUCAUGAGGUUCCGGAACAUACCCACCUCCUAUAUAAUGUUGUGACAUAGGAUCGGAAGAUGUUGAAUCCUUGUGGGUUGAGUUGAGAAGCUGCAAGGGUAAAAGGACGUUGAUGGCAGUUAUAUACAGGCCUCCCAACAGUGGCUGGCUGGCGGACCACAGGUUACAGCAGGAAAUAGAAAAGGCGAGUCAAAAGAGCAAUGUUACGGUAGUCAUGGGAUACUUUAAACAUGCAGGUCGAUUGGGAAAAUCAGGUUGGUAAUGGCUCUCAGGAGAGUGAGUUUCUUGAAUGCCUAAGAGAUGGCUUUUUAGAGCAGUUUGUUGUUGAGCCUACUGGGGGAUCACCUAUUCUGGAUUGGAUAUUAUGUAAUGGACUGGAGGUGAUUAGGGAACUUAACGUAAAGGAACCCUUAGGGGACAGUGAUCACAAUAUGAUUGAGUUUAACUUGAAAUCUGAUCAGGAGAAAGUAAAGUCUGAUGCAGCAGUAUUUCAGUGGAGUAAGGGAAAUUACAGUGGGAUGAGAGAGGAGUUGGCCAAAGUAAAUUGGAAGGAGAUGCUGGCAGGGAUGACAGCAGAGCAGCAAUGGUGUGAGUUUCUGGGAAAAAUGAGGAAGGUGCAGGGUAGAUGUAUUCCAGAAACAAAGAAAUACUCAAAUGGUAAAAUAGUACAACCAUGGCUGACAAGGGAAGUCAAAGCUAAUGUAAACGCAAAAGCGAGGGCAUUAAAAUAAAGCAAAAAUUAGUGGAAUGACCAGAGGAUAGGAAAGCUUUUAAAAAACUACAGAGAGCAACUAAAAGAGCAUUAGCAGGGAAAAGAUGAAAUAUAAAAGCAAACAAGCUAGCAAACAAUAUCAAAGUGGUAGAGGCAGGUUUGGUAUUGUAAUUUAAAGUAAAAUUGGAUAGGUAUAUAGACAGGAAAGGAAUGGAGGGUUAUGGGCUGAGUGCGGGCCAGUGGGACUAGGUGAGAAUAAGCAUCGGCACAGACUAGAAGGGCCGAGGUGGCCUGUUUCCGUGCUGUAAUUGUUCUAUGGUUAUAUGUUAUAUGAUAGUAAAAGCGUUUUCAACUAUGUAAAAAAUAAAAUAAAGAUGAGAAUGGAUAUAGGACCACUAGAAAAUGAGGCUGGAGAAAUAAUAAUGGGGGCCAAGGAGAUGGCAGAUGAACUAAAUGAGUAUUCUGCAUCAGUCUUCACUGUGGAAGACACUAGCAGUGUGCCAGAUGUUGAAGGGUGUGAGAGAAGAGAAGUGAGUGCAGUUACAUUACAAGUGAAAAGGUGCUAUAAAAGCUGAAAGUCCUAAGGUACAUAAGUCACCCAGACCAGAUGAACUACACCUUAGGGUUAUGAAAGAAGUAGCAUUAUAGAUUGGGGAGGCAUUAGCAAUGAUCUUUCAAAUAACAUUGGAUUCUGCAUGGUGCCAGAGGACUGCAAAUGUCACUCCACUUUUUAAGAAAAGGGGAAGGCAGCAGAAAGGACAUUAUAGACCAGUUUGCCUGACCCCAGUGGGAGAGCAUGUUAGAGUCAAUUGUUAAGGAUGAGGUGAUGGAGUACUUGGUGACACAGGACGAGAUAGGACAAAGUCAGCAUGAUCUCCUUCAUGGAAAAUUCUGCCUGAUGAACCUGUUGGAAUUCUUUGAGAAGGUUAUGUGUAGGAUAGAUAAAGGGGAUGCAGUGGAUGUUGUAUAUUUGGACUUUCAUAAGGCCUUUGACAAGGUGCCACACAUGAGGCUGCUCACCAAGUUAAGAGCCCAUGGUAUUAAAGGAAAGUUAUUAACAUGGUUAGAGCAUUGGCUGAUUGGUAGGAGGCAGCAAGUGGGAAUAAAAGGAUCCUUGUCUGGUUGACUGCCAGUGACUAGUGGUGUUCUGCAGGGGUCAGUGGUAAAUGAUUUAGAUGAUGGAAUAGAUGACUUUGUUGCCAAGUUUGCAGAUGAUACAAAGAUCUGCGGAGGGGCAGGUAGUGUUGAGGAAAAAGGUGGGCUGCAGAAGGACUUGGACAGAUUCAGAGAAUGGGCAAGAGAGUGGCAAAUGAAAUACAAUGUUGGAAAAUGCAUGGUCAUGCACUUUGGUGGAAGAAACUUCACUUUGGUGAAGACUUAUUUUCUAAAUGGGGAGAAAAUCCAAAAAUCUGAGAAUCAAAGGGACUUGGGAGUCUUUGUGUAGAACACCCUAAAGGUUAAAUUGCAGGUUGAGUCAGUGGUGAGAAAGGCAAAUGCAAUGUUAGCAUUCAUUUCAAGAGGUCUGGAAUACAAGAGGAAGGAUGUGAUGCUGAGGCUUUAUAAGGUACUAGUGAGGCCUCACCUUGAAUAUUGUGAAUAGUUUUGGGCUCCUCAUCUAAGAGCUGGCAUUGGAGAGGGUCCAGAAGAGUUUCAUAAGGAUGAUAUUGGGAAUGAAAGGGUUAUCACAUGAUGAAUGUUUGAUGGAUCUGGGCUGUACCCGCUGUAAUUUAGAAGGAUGGGGGGGGGACCUCAUUGAAACCUUUUGAAUGUUGAAAGGCCUAGAUGGAUUAGAUGUGGAGAGGAUAUUUCCCAUGGUGUGAGAAUCUAGGACAAGGGGGCACAGCAUCAAAAUAGAGGGGCAACAAUUUCAUUAAAAAACUCUGUCUUAAAUCUCCCAUUAACAUGUCUCCCUUUAUCUCUGAAACCCUCUUCUAUCCCUAUUUCACCCUAGGAUUGCUGUGCUCUUCCCACUUCACCCUCUUACUCAUUCUAGUCUUUAAUCUUUUCUUGCACCUUCAAAUGUGAAAAAUAAAUGUGCUAGGUUUUCUAAAAUUGACUCCUUCUACCUUAGGCCACAAACAUAUCAAUUACCCCUCAUAAGUACAGACCUGUCAGGGAUAUCGCAUGCCUUUUUAGUGUUGAGCGAAGAAGCGUAGAAGGUGCUUAACUUGUGCUUACUGGUACAUUUUCAUUUUGUGUUAGCUAUUUCAUUAGAGUCAUCAUCAUGACAUUUAGCUUCAGCGGAACAGGUUUAGAGUAUACAGUCUUUAAAAUUGAUUCUUUAACUAACUAAAAUGUCUGUUCAAAUGUGUAACCCUCCAAUGCAGAUAAUCACCCAGGAUCUGUGAAAGGUAGGAUUGUUCAAGAAACAUGCUAUGUUGAAUCGAUAAUAAAAAACUUACUCCUCUACUGCUGCUUAUUUGAUAAAGAUGAAUGCUUUAUUUCUCAAUCUUCCUCAUUGUGGCCAUUGCACCGUCUCUGUCUACCUGCACUGAACUUUCUCUGUAGCUGUAACACUAUAUUCUGUAUUCAGUUUAGUUUUACUUUUGUACUACAUCACCAUAGUUAUAUGUCCGGAUGGUAUGCAAGUAAAAUGACAAUAGGAAAUCAAUCACCAUUAUUGUGAACAAAACUAACAAUAAUAAAUUAAUGAACCAUGAGAAGAAUAACCUUUUCACUGUGUUGUCAUACAUAUGACAAUAGUAACCCAAUACCAAUAUCGCCAACAAAUCCACUUUCAUUCCUGCAGAUACAUCUGACUAUGACCAAUUUGGAGAGUGCUGUGGUCACAAAGGAUCCGUAGGCUGCAGAGACCAUUAUGUGUGAAAAUCCCAGGAGAUCAGCAGUUUCUGAGAUACUCAAACCACCCUGUCUGGCACCAACGAUCAUUCCAUGUUCAAAGUCACUUAGAUCACAUUCCUACCUCAUUCCGAUGUUUAUUCUGAACAACAACUGAACCUCUUGACCAGAUCCACAUGGUUUUAUGCUGCCACGUGAUUGGCUGAUUAGACGUUUGUAUUAAUAAGCAAGUGGACAGGUGUAACUGAUAAAGUAGCCACAGAAUGUAGAUGGAGUGUUUUCUUUUCCACUGCAAGGGGCAUUACAGAAGGAAAACAUUCUUUAUAAGCAUCUCCACACAAUUUCUGACGGCUUGAUUAAAACCUUGCUGGCUCCAGCCAAACAAAUAAAAAGGAGCUUCUUAAACUGGUUGAACAACAUUAUCUCCUUUAUUGCAAAUAGUAUAUAAUUGAGAGGAGGAAUGUUGCAGGUUUGAAGUGAAUUGUUAAACUCUGCGGUAUGCCACAAGCUUAGGGGAGGGGUGAUGUACUGCUCAGUGAGAAGAAACUGAAUUUCAAGAUAGCAAUCAAUAUUGCCCUGACAUGGAGCCAACAGUCAAGUCAACCUAGAUCUGUGACAUCAACCAGCCCAAAGCGCUGAGCUUGAACAGGUUGGUGCCUGUCUUCAGGAAGAGGUGUCAUUUGGAAUCGCAGUUCUUGACCAUCCCUAAUUGGUUUUGAAGUGAGGAGCCGGUUGAGAAUCAACUACCUCAGUACUCCACUUCCUGAGGAGGUGGAGGUGAGUGAAGCUCCACUCCCUCAUUCUAAUCAAUUUUUACAGGAGCACCGUCGAGAGUGUCCUGACCAGCUGCAUCAUGGUCUGGUACGGGAAUUGCAAGGUAUCUGACUGCAAGUCCCUACAAAGGAUUGCGGUGACUGUUGAGAGGAUCACAUUGGACAGUCUCUCUUCCACCCAUUAGAGAUAUUUAUCAGGAGUGCUGUGUAAGCAGGGCCCUAAGCAUUGGCAAUGAUUUCUCCCAUCCGUCCCACAGUCUCUUUGACCCCAGGCAGGCAGGAGGUACCAUAGCAUUAGGACAAGAAUUGUUAGGAUGGAAACAGCUUCUUCCCCUGGGCCAUCAGACUACAGAACCUCCUGCCACCACACAGGUCUCAUCAUGUAUGAAGCAACAGUAGUGUUAUACUGUUUACUUUUUAACUUGUAUCGUGUAUGCAACUUAUUAUUAAUUUAUUGUGGUAAUAUUACUUUAUGUGUUAUGUCUGUGAGUUAUACAUAUUGUUAUGCACCUUGAUCCAGAAGAUUGUUGUUUCAUUCAGCAGUAUACAGGUUAUGAAUGAAUGAUAAUAAACUAAAUUUGAGCUUAUUUGACAGUACACAUGAGAAAAAACAAGUCCAUUCCAGUUAUCACAUGUCUAUUUCUAUGUACUUCCAGUAGGAGUCACUGGACACCUUGACUGCAUUUUGUCAUCUCUUUAGCCCAGAUACAUAGCAGACAUUUAAUUUCCAAUAUUACUCCCAUUGAGGAAAGGUUAGCUUUUCCUCGUCUAUGGACAGGAUUUUGUGUCCACCAUUUCAGUGUUGGUUAAUCACAUGGUCAGCACCUACCAAAAUUGUCCUUUUUCCUCAUUAAGUUUGCACAAUUUCACUGCUGUUCCAUUUUCCCUCAAUGGCUUUAAAACCUGUUAGGAGAUAUUAAAUUCCUCCUCCACUAGCUGGUGGGUAAAUUGUCCUUGUUGGGUCUCAACAUUUCUCUCUGUAACUGGAUCUUGGAUUCUCGACAGAAAGAUCACUGUCUGUCUGUGUUGACAGAAACCUCUCUCGCUCCAUCACGUUGAGCACCAGUGCUCCCCAGGACUGUGUGCUCAGCCCAUGCCGCUAACCUAUGACUGCAUUGCUAGAUCCAGUUCAAACUGAAUCAUCAAGUUUGCUGAUGACACAACAGUGGUUGGCCUCAUGAAUAACUUUGACAUGAGAGUGUACAGAGAGAAGGUAGAGCAGCUGGUAGAUUGAUGUGUGCACAGCAACUUGAGUCUCAACAUGGAUGAGACCAAAGUGGUGAAGGUGCUGGCUGACCUCUACUCACUGCAUGUACACGUGGAGAGAGUUAAGAUUACCAAGUUUCUGGGAGUGCAGUAAUGGACGAUCUCACCCGGUCCCUCAACACAGCUUCUUUGGUCAAGAAAGCACAGCAGCGUCUCCACUUCCUGAGGAGGUGGAGGUGAGUGAAGCUCCACUCCCCCAUUCUAAUCAAUUUUUACAGGAGCACCGUCGAGAGUGUCCUGACCAGCUGCAUCAUGGUCUGGUACGGGAAUUGCAAGGUAUCUGACUGCAAGUCCCUACAAAGGAUUGUGGUGACUGUUGAGAGGAUCACAUUGGGCAGUCUCUCUUCCACCCAUUAGAGAUAUUUAUCAGGAGUGCUGUGUAAGCAGGGCCCUAAGCAUUGGCAAUGAUUUCUCCCAUCCGUCCCACAGUCUCUUUGACCCCAGGCAGGCAGGAGGUACCAUAGCAUUAGGACAAGAAUUGUUAGGAUGGAAACAGCUUCUUCCCCUGGGCCAUCAGACUACAGAACCUCCUGCCACCACACAGGUCUCAUCAUGUAUGAAGCGACAGUAGUGUUAUACUGUUUACUUUUUAACUUGUAUCGUGUAUGCAACUUAUUAUUAAUUUAUUGUGGUAAUAUUACUUUAUGUGUUAUGUCUGUGAGUUAUACAUAUUGUUAUGCACCUUGAUCCAGAGGAUCGUUGUUUCAUUUAGCAGUAUACAUGUUAUGAUUGAAUGACAAUAAACUAAACUUCAAGUUCA